Molecule: transfer RNA, 98 nt
Filed under: Planctomycetaceae bacterium
Lineage: Bacteria; Pseudomonadati; Planctomycetota; Planctomycetia; Planctomycetales; Planctomycetaceae
Also listed under: 2 other names
Description: tRNA-Sec
Rfam family: Selenocysteine transfer RNA
Source: RNAcentral
GGAAGUGGAAGCACAUCUGGUGAUGGCCACGGUCUUCAAAACCGCUGAGCUGGGCGUGAACCGUCCGGUUGGUGGGUUCGAUUCCCAUACACUUCCGC